GGGACGGAGCGCCGGUUUAAUCAUGCCGUCCAGCACCAGGAGGAACCCUUCCAAGUGAGGCGGCCCUUUUUAAUGCUGCUUAAGAGAUCCCUCUCUUACCUCCCCAGUGGCCACGGCUCCUCCUCUCCGUCUCCCUCUGCCAGCCCUGCCCAUCAAACCCCCAAUUCUCUCCGUCCCUUUGUCCAUUACGCUCUCCUUGUCUUCAGCCAAAAUAGUUGCAUCUACGGCCAUUUUGACCUACUUCUAACACCCCUUCCAGCACACCCUCCACCCCCCCCCCUCUUUUCU
Long non-coding RNA from Gasterosteus aculeatus aculeatus (three-spined stickleback), 288 nucleotides. Lineage: Eukaryota; Metazoa; Chordata; Actinopteri; Perciformes; Gasterosteidae. The record is from Ensembl.